This is a non-coding RNA of Phrynosoma platyrhinos (Desert horned lizard), 73 nucleotides long. NCBI's taxonomy places the organism in Eukaryota, Metazoa, Chordata, Lepidosauria, Squamata, Phrynosomatidae. The record is from the annotation of a GenBank genome assembly.
AGCCAGCAUAGUGUAGUGGUCGGAGCAUUAAACUACAACUCUGAAGACCAGGGUUCGAAUCCCUGCUUGGCUA